GAAUAUUGGAUAAUGGGCGAAAGCCUGAUCCAGCAAUGCCGCGUGAGUGAUGAAGGCCUUAGGGUUGUAAAGCUCUUUUACCAGGGAUGAUAAUGACAGUACCUGGAGAAUAAGCUCCGGCUAACUCCGUGCCAGCAGCCGCGGUAAUACGGAGGGAGCUAGCGUUGUUCGGAAAUACUGGGCGUAAAGCGCACGUAGGCGGUAUCGCAAGUCAGGGGUGAAAUCCCGGGGCUCAACCCCGGAACUGCCCUUGAAACUGCGACACUAGAAUACUGGAGAGGCAAGUGGAAUUCCGAGUGUAGAGGUGAAAUUCGUUGAUAUUCGGAAGAACACCAGUGGCGAAGGCGACUUGCUGGACAGUGAUUGACGCUGAGGUGCGAAAGCGUGGGGAGCAAACAGG
Molecule: ribosomal RNA, 400 nt
Filed under: uncultured bacterium
Lineage: Bacteria
Description: bacterial SSU rRNA
Rfam family: Bacterial small subunit ribosomal RNA
Source: RNAcentral